Molecule: ribosomal RNA, 492 nt
Filed under: uncultured bacterium
Lineage: Bacteria
Description: partial 16S ribosomal RNA
Rfam family: Bacterial small subunit ribosomal RNA
Source: RNAcentral
AGUGAACGCUGGCGGUAGGCCUAACACAUGCAAGUCGAACGGCAGCACAGUAAGAGCUUGCUCUUACGGGUGGCGAGUGGCGGACGGGUGAGGAAUACAUCGGAAUCUACUUUUUCGUGGGGGAUAACGUAGGGAAACUUACGCUAAUACCGCAUACGACCUACGGGUGAAAGCAGGGGAUCUUCGGACCUUGAGCGAUUGAAUGAGCCGAUGUCGGAUUAGCUAGUUGGCGGGGUAAAGGCCCACCAAGGCGACGAUCCGUAGCUGGUCUGAGAGGAUGAUCAGCCACAUUGGAACUGAGACACGGUCCAGACUCCUACGGGAGGCAGCAGUGGGGAAUAUUGGACAAUGGGCGCAAGCCUGAUCCAGCCAUACCGCGUGGGUGAAGAAGGCCUUCGGGUUGUAAAGCCCUUUUGUUGGGAAAGAAAAGCAGCAGGUUAAUACCCCGCUGUUCUGACGGUACCCAAAGAAUAAGCACCGGCUAACUUCGUG